Molecule: ribosomal RNA, 301 nt
Filed under: uncultured bacterium
Lineage: Bacteria
Description: partial 16S ribosomal RNA
Rfam family: Bacterial small subunit ribosomal RNA
Source: RNAcentral
CAGUCGCCGCGGUAAUACGUAGGGUGCGAGCGUUAAUCGGAAUUACUGGGCGUAAAGCGUGCGCAGGCGGUUGUGUAAGACAGGUGUGAAAUCCCCGGGCUUAACCUGGGAACUGCGCUUGUGACUGCACAGCUAGAGUAUGGCAGAGGGGGGCGGAAUUCCACGUGUAGCGGUGAAAUGCGUAGAGAUGUGGAGGAACACCGAUGGCGAAGGCAGCCCCCUGGGCCAAUACUGACGCUCAUGCACGAAAGCGUGGGGAGCAAACAGGAUUAGAUACCCGGGUAGUCCCUGUCUCUUAUAA